CUCAGUAUUUUUCAGUGCUGUACAAGCGUCUUGAAUUACUCUGGUAGCUUUUCCAGAAAGACCCAUGACUUCACCACAUUUCUCGAGUUACGAUGAAGGUCCUCUGGAUGUCAGCAUGGCAGCCACAAACCUGGAGAACCAGCUGCACAGCGCACAGAAGAACCUCCUGUUCCUUCAGCGGGAGCAUGCCAGCACGCUCAAGGGGCUGCACUCCGAGAUCAGGCGGCUGCAGCAGCACUGCACAGAUUUAACAUAUGAGCUGACAGUCAAAAGUUCGGAACAGACAGGGAAAUGUUUCCUAAUCACAACAGAAGAGAAGCAAGCAGCCAUUGUACCACUAACACAAAGCAAGCAACUCUGCUUCGACUUCUCCCACUUUUGGGAAAAGUCCACUUUUCAAGAAGGAGACUGGAAACAGGAAGUGGCCCAGGCUUGCCCUCGUCACCGCCAGUGACACCAACCAGGCGCUCAGUGCAGCAUCCAGCUUCCAGCCUCAGGAUGGCCCCGAGACAGAGGCUGGCUGCUCCGAUUUCAACCAGAGCCAUUUCUGAGGCUGGAAUGAUCAACUGGAAUAGUGAAAAAUG
Molecule: long non-coding RNA, 584 nt
Filed under: Homo sapiens (human)
Lineage: Eukaryota; Metazoa; Chordata; Mammalia; Primates; Hominidae
Description: non-protein coding lnc-CCDC92-1:1
Source: RNAcentral